This 500-nucleotide ribosomal RNA is filed under the name uncultured bacterium. Its description in RNAcentral is "partial 16S ribosomal RNA". It matches the Rfam family "Bacterial small subunit ribosomal RNA", at positions 30 to 523 of the family's 1533-position model. The record is from RNAcentral.
AUUGAACGCUGGCGGCAUGCUUUACACAUGCAAGUCGAACGGUAACAGGGAGCUUGCUCCGCUGACGAGUGGCGAACGGGUGAGUAAUAUAUCAGAACGUACCCAAGAGUGGGGGAUAACGUAGCGAAAGUUACGCUAAUACCGCAUACGAUCUAGGGAUGAAAGUGGGGGAUCGCAAGACCUCAUGCUCCUGGAGCGGCCGAUAUCUGAUUAGCUAGUUGGUGAGGUAAUGGCUCACCAAGGCGACGAUCAGUAGCUGGUCUGAGAGGACGACCAGCCACACGGAAACUGUGACACGGUCCUGCCUCCUACGGGAGGCAGCAGUGGGGAAUUUUGGACAAUGGGCGCAAGCCUGAUCCAGCACUGCCGCGUGAGUGAAGAAGGCCUUCGGGUUGUAAAGCUCUUUUGUCAGGGAAGAAACGGGAGUGGCUAAUAUCCAUUCCUAAUGACGGUACCUGAAGAAUAAGCACCGGCUAACUACGUGCCAGCCGCCGCCGUAA